CAGGGAGACAACAAAAUGUUUAAUAUUAUUAUUUUGUCACCUUAGGUCGAUCGGUAUCUCACGUUUUUAAUUUAUUAAGAAUUUCAUUUCCUAAGUUUUUCUAGGCCACACCCAUUUUUUUUCCUGGGCCAUUAGCUCAGGUGGUUAGAGCGCACCCCUGAUAAGGGUGAGGUCCCUGGUUCAAGUCCAGGAUGGCCCAUAUCUCUAUGUUGGGGGUAUAGCUCAGUUGGUAGAGCGCCUGCUUUGCAAGCAGGAUGUCAGCGGUUCGAGUCCGCUUACCUCCACUGAUUACCACCUCUUCCAUAACCGGCAAAAAGGAAAUUUUUUGAGUUGUGAUCAAAUUCUGAAAGAAUCUAGCUUCCUAAUGAAAUCAUUAAGAUGCUGGACUCAUUGAAUUAAUUUCAUUGUUUUCAGAGAACCUUGACAACUGCAUAGAUUAUUUUUAAAGACAAUAAGCAUCUUUAAUGAUGCAGAUUUAUUAUUUGUGCGAAUGCAUUAAUAACAAUUCUAUUAAGCUGAUGCUUCAAUUUUUGAAGUUAUU
This 541-nucleotide transfer RNA is filed under the name uncultured cyanobacterium. RNAcentral describes it as "partial contains 16S ribosomal RNA, 16S-23S ribosomal RNA intergenic spacer, and 23S ribosomal RNA". The stretch from base 212 to 284 matches the Rfam family "tRNA". Lineage: Bacteria; Bacillati; Cyanobacteriota. The record is from RNAcentral.